This 422-nucleotide ribosomal RNA is filed under the name uncultured bacterium. RNAcentral describes it as "partial 16S ribosomal RNA". It matches the Rfam family "Bacterial small subunit ribosomal RNA", at positions 361 to 775 of the family's 1533-position model. The record is from RNAcentral.
AUCUUCCACAAUGGACGGAAGUCUGAUGGAGCUACGCCGCGUGAGCGAAGAAGGUUUCCGGAUCGUAAAGCUCUGUUGUAAGGCAAGAACAUGUACGGUAGUCACUGCCCGUACCUUGACGGUACCCUAUCAUUAAGCCUCGGCUCACUUCGUUCCCUCACCCGCGGUAAUACGUAUGUGGCAAGCGUUGUCCGGAAUUAUUGGGCGUAAAGCGCGCGCAGGCGGUCCUUUAAGUCUGAUGUGAAAGCCCACGGCUCAAACGUGGAGGGUCAUUGGAAACUGGAGGACUUGAGUACAGAAGAGGAAAGCGGAAUUCCACGUGUAGCGGUGAAAUGCGUAGAGAUGUGGAGGAACACCGAUGGCGAAGGCAGCCCCCUGGGAUAAUACUGACGCUCAGACACGAAAGCGUGGGGAGCAAACAG